GGAAACGUGCCCGAAAGCAAAGGACCUCCUUGAUAGGGAGAAUCAUAGGGGUUCAAACCCCCUCGCUUCCU
RNAcentral lists this transfer RNA (71 nucleotides) under Odorrana livida (green cascade frog). RNAcentral describes it as "tRNA-Ile". It matches the Rfam family "tRNA". From Rfam's summary of the family: Transfer RNA (tRNA) molecules are approximately 80 nucleotides in length. Their secondary structure includes four short double-helical elements and three loops (D, anti-codon, and T loops). Lineage: Eukaryota; Metazoa; Chordata; Amphibia; Anura; Ranidae. The record is from RNAcentral.